GAGUUUGAUCCUGGCUCAGAAUCAACGCUGGCGGCGUGCCUAACACAUGCAAGUCGAACGCGAAGAUCCCGCAAGGGAUUUGUAGAGUGGCAAACGGGUGAGUAACACGUGGGUGACCUGC
This 121-nucleotide ribosomal RNA is filed under the name uncultured Acidobacteriota bacterium. RNAcentral's name for it is "uncultured Acidobacteria bacterium partial 16S ribosomal RNA". It matches the Rfam family "Bacterial small subunit ribosomal RNA", at positions 9 to 129 of the family's 1533-position model. The record is from RNAcentral. Lineage: Bacteria; Pseudomonadati; Acidobacteriota.